GCCCGGAUAGCUCAGUUGGUAGAGCAGCGGACUGAAAAUCCGCGUGUCGGUGGUUCGAAUCCGCCUCCGGGCACCA
This 76-nucleotide transfer RNA is filed under the name Paracoccus bogoriensis. RNAcentral's name for it is "tRNA-Phe". It matches the Rfam family "tRNA". From Rfam's summary of the family: Transfer RNA (tRNA) molecules are approximately 80 nucleotides in length. Their secondary structure includes four short double-helical elements and three loops (D, anti-codon, and T loops). Further hydrogen bonds mediate the characteristic L-shaped molecular structure. tRNAs have two regions of fundamental functional importance: the anti-codon, which is responsible for specific mRNA codon recognition, and the 3' end, to which the tRNAs corresponding amino acid is attached (by aminoacyl-tRNA synthetases). tRNAs cope with the degeneracy of the genetic code in two manners: having more than one tRNA (with a specific anti-codon) for a particular amino acid; and 'wobble' base-pairing, i.e. permitting non-standard base-pairing at the 3rd anti-codon position. The record is from RNAcentral. RNAcentral also lists the same sequence under 10 other names. Lineage: Bacteria; Pseudomonadati; Pseudomonadota; Alphaproteobacteria; Rhodobacterales; Paracoccaceae.